GCCUAACACAUGCAAGUCGAGCGGUAACAUUUCAAAAGCUUGCUUUUGAAGAUGACGAGCGGCGGACGGGUGAGUAAUGCCUGGGAAUUUGCCCAUUUGUGGGGGAUAACAGUUGGAAACGACUGCUAAUACCGCAUACGCCCUACGGGGGAAAGCAGGGGACCUUCGGGCCUUGCGCUGAUGGAUAAGCCCAGGUGGGAUUAGCUAGUAGGUGAGGUAAAGGCUCACCUAGGCGACGAUCCCUAGCUGGUCUGAGAGGAUGAUCAGCCACACUGGGACUGAGACACGGCCCAGACUCCUACGGGAGGCAGCAGUGGGGAAUAUUGCACAAUGGGGGAAACCCUGAUGCAGCCAUGCCGCGUGUGUGAAGAAGGCCUUCGGGUUGUAAAGCACUUUCAGCGAGGAGGAAAGGGUGUAAGUUAAUACCUUACAUCUGUGACGUUACUCGCAGAAGAAGCACCGGCUAACUCCGUGCCAGCAGCCGCGGUAAUACGGAGGGUGCGAGCGUUAAUCGGAAUUACUGGGCGUAAAGCGUGCGCAGGCGGUUUGUUAAGCGAGAUGUGAAAGCCCCCGGCUCAACCUGGGAACCGCAUUUCGAACUGGCAAACUAGAUCUUGUAGAGGGGGGUAGAA
This 632-nucleotide ribosomal RNA is filed under the name Shewanella sp. OC-C4-16. RNAcentral's name for it is "bacterial SSU rRNA". It matches the Rfam family "Bacterial small subunit ribosomal RNA", at positions 46 to 666 of the family's 1533-position model. The record is from RNAcentral. Lineage: Bacteria; Pseudomonadati; Pseudomonadota; Gammaproteobacteria; Alteromonadales; Shewanellaceae.